CCUAGAUAGCCAUACCUUAAAUCUCUCAGUAUUUUGACUCUGUAAUAAUUGGUAGCAUUUAAUUAUAAAAUGUUUAAAGGCAGCGAAGCAGUUGCCUCUGUCAUCAGGUUGGGAUUAAAGGCAGCACAAUUAUGGCAUUGUGUUCCUGCUACUUAGGGUUCUUGACCUGAAGCUUCCUUGGUACUUCGCUGAGCAACGUUACAGAGACACUUCCAGGAAAAUAAAGCCAGUAUAAACCGAGGUAAUAAAUUUGAGAAAGAAUACAACAACAACAACAACAACAAAAUCUCCCAAGAGUUCCAUGUUUCCAGAUACCCUAUAGAGGAUGAGAACUUCUGCUCUACAUUUCCCUACAGAGAAGGUUCUGGAAAUCUAAAUUCCCCAGAAUCCUACUGUUGACAAAUGGGCAUGACAACUACAGAUCUAUGAAAACUCUGCUGAGGAACUUUUUCCCUCAUCAUCAAC
Molecule: long non-coding RNA, 465 nt
Filed under: Fukomys damarensis (Damara mole-rat)
Lineage: Eukaryota; Metazoa; Chordata; Mammalia; Rodentia; Bathyergidae
Description: lncRNA (ENSFDAG00000028639.1)
Source: RNAcentral